RNAcentral lists this ribosomal RNA (431 nucleotides) under uncultured bacterium. Its description in RNAcentral is "partial 16S ribosomal RNA". It matches the Rfam family "Bacterial small subunit ribosomal RNA", at positions 29 to 507 of the family's 1533-position model. The record is from RNAcentral.
AGCGAACGCUGGCGGCAGGCUUAACACAUGCAAGUCGAGCGCCCCGCAAGGGGAGCGGCAGACGGGAGAGUAACACGUGGGAACAUACCUUUUGGUUCGGAACAACUGAGGGAAACUUCAGCUAAUACCGGAUAAGCCCUUACGGGGAAAGAAUUAUCGCCGAAAGAUUGGCCCGCGUCUGAUUAGCUAGUUGGUGAGGUAACGGCUCACCAAGGCGACGAUCAGUAGCUGGUCUGAGAGGAUGAUCAGCCUCACUGGGACUGAGACACGGCCCAGACUCCUACGGGAGGCAGCAGUGGGGAAUAUUGGACAAUGGGGGCAACCCUGAUCCAGCCAUGCCGCGUGAGUGAUGAAGGCCUUAGGGUUGUAAAGCUCUUUUGCCCGGGAAGAUAAUGACGGUACCGGGAGAAUAAGCCCCGGCUAACUUCGUG